RNAcentral lists this long non-coding RNA (2332 nucleotides) under Marmota monax (woodchuck). The record is from RNAcentral. Lineage: Eukaryota; Metazoa; Chordata; Mammalia; Rodentia; Sciuridae.
GAUUGGGGUUAGAGACAGUAAAAUGGUCUGGAGCCUGGAACUAGUGCUCUAAGAGAGUCCUGGGACAGAAAAGUACCUCUGGUGUUUGUUUCCCAGAGUUUAGACACCACUGUCAAAAGGAAGGGGGGCUUGCUGAGGGGAUGAGGAGGGUUUGUGGAAGAGGAAGCAGCCAUGGAAAGCUAGUUGAUACGUUGGUGAUCUUUUCAGUUAAAGGUGGAGGUGGGUGGGCGGCUCAGGAGAAGGUGCUCAGGGCCUGAGAGAGUGGUGAGUAGGCUGCUCCUGGCUGCUGAGGCCCGUUUAUUGCCUGUGUUUUGUCAUUUUUUAAAGCCAGUUCCUCUGUGCUGCUUCCAGAUUUUGUCGAGGCAGGAUCGAGUCUUCCUCUCUGGGACCUUUGCCAUGAGGGCCUGUUUCUCAGAGCUGGGUUUUAAGAGCUGCCCAGACUUGUAGCUGCCAUCAGCAGCCUCCGGUGAACCUGGCCAGCAGGCCCCACCUGGGGACGGCAGCGUGCGGGAGCUCUCCUGGCCUCCCUAGAGCUGCCCUGCUUUCCACUUCACACCUUCCCUUCCCUGAACAGGAAAGAGCCUGACAGGGAUGUGGCAUUUCAACCAAGUGGCACUCUGCAACUCGAAAGUACCGUUUCUAAGGCCAAAAACGGAUUGGCUUACUUUUAGCUCUAUUCGAAAGCACCUUUCACUGUGAAAUGCCCCACUAAGAAGGGUUCCCACUUUGGAAAGAUGCUCUGACAUGGAACAGAUUAAAGCAAAUUCAGUUUGACCGAGGGAAGUAAUGUCUUUCAGGCUGGAAAAGCAGCUUGCUUCCCUCUCUAGCCAAUUAUUCACUACGUGGGUCUUUUUCUGUGAGGCCUCUAAUAAUUCUCUGGGCUCCCUCAUGCCUCAGAGCCAAGCUGCUGAGCUUGGGCCCGAGCUUGUUCAGGCUCUGACCCAACUGCAGAUGUUAGCCGAGGGCCCUUGGCCUCUUUUCCGUGCUUUGAUUUAGAACUCUAGCUUUGCAGGGAGUAAUUGUUUCCUGUCUGUCUUGUCCCAGUUCUAAGCACCGUGGCCUUGAAACUCAAAAUUUGGAGACCUAAAUAUUCUCUCGCCCCUCUCUUCCAGGGAAAAUCCUCAUUCAGGCUAAGGAUAAGAGAUGCUUCUUAAAGGGCAGUAAUUUCUAGAUUAGCAUGCUGUGUGUGCUGGCACUGAGACCUACUUAUAGUCUAAAAUGUGUGUGACCUUUCUGCCGGAAUCUUUCUUCCCCUGGAUCCCUCUGGAAUAUGGGAUUGAGGGUAGGUGGUGACGGGAUAGUUAAUUUCAUGAGAGAGUGUUGGUGGCCACGUCUUAGACCACAGGAUCUGACAGUUGAGGGAAAGGAAAUCAUUAAUCCUCAUGACUUGAUCUAUCAAUGCAAUGCUGAUGACUCAAUCCUGCUCUGUCCGACCUCUCACGGGGUUCCCAGGUCCAGACUCGUCUAGGUCUGUGGGAGGUUUGCGAUCUUUCUGUGUCUUUCAGUAUGUGUUUGUCUUUUAACUGACUUGCUAUGUAAAAUAACAUUUCUUACUUGGUAAAAAAAAUUUGAAGAACACUGGUGUAUAAAACAGACUCUCUCCUAGCCUAUCUUGUCAUCUCAGGUCAAGAGGUCCAAAAUCGAUUCCCUCCCAAACUGUUUAACCUUUUCAAUCUCUUCAUACUUACUCUUGGAAAAAUCAUAAACCUUCAGUGAUUCCAACUAGAUCUUUCUUUUCUUUUCUUUCUCCAGGAAGUGAACCCAGUUUACCACUGAGCUGCAUCCUCAGCCCUUUUAUUUUUAAGACAGGGUCUUGUAGGUUGCUGAGGCUACAAUCCUCCUGUCUCAGCCUCCCGAGUUGCUGAAAUUACAGACAUGCAUCACUGCACCUAGUCAGAUUAGAUAUUUUCAAGUCACCUUUACUUUUCUUUCUAUGCCUAUAUCCAGCUAUAUCCAGUUUGUCAACAAGCUCUAAUGUCUCCUCCUUCUAGAUAUCUCUCCCAUGGGCCCCUUCUCAUGGUCAGAGCCCAAGUAAGUCAUCUCUUUAAGCCUGGAUUACCCCGGAAGCCAGUCCUUGCUGUCCCUCACCUCUAGUCUUCUACCUAAAUCCACCCUCUUACCAAUGACAUUUGAAUCUUUUCCAAAUGCUAUUUUCAUUCCAUCAGUUGGGGCAAUUGAUCAAGGACAAAAGGAAAAACUUGACAGUAGUUUCUAGUGAUGAAAGUCUGUCUCUUAAGAGGAGGAACAGUUGUACUCCCUCAAGCUGCAAAGGAAUACACCCAGAGCCCUGCGCAGUCAAAACAGGGACUCUGCCAAAAAAGGAAAAAGGCAU